Molecule: RNA transcript, 1466 nt
Organism: Stegostoma tigrinum
Lineage: Eukaryota; Metazoa; Chordata; Chondrichthyes; Orectolobiformes; Stegostomatidae
Gene: dnajc17
Gene name: DnaJ (Hsp40) homolog, subfamily C, member 17
Exons: 12
Source: RefSeq, a predicted model, not a curated record
UGCACGCAGGGAAUUAUAGUCUCUUCUGGGACAAAACUUCAAGGAGCCUGAGCGGACAGGUGGUGUCUCGGAAACUACAAUCCUAGAAGGCUUCGCGGCUCGAAGGGCUUGGUGUUGUUUUGGAGGCCGGUGGUGAAUGUUUAGGCCUGAGUCUAUUUCGCAAUCGGGUUGAAAGGAAAGGCCGGAAUCUGCUGCUUCGAGCUAGGUCACCUUUAGUGUGAAGAACAAUGACAGCUAAAGAAAUCCUGCAGUUAGACCUCUACUCGUUGCUGGGGAUCAGCGAAGAUGCUACUGGUAAAGAGAUUAAGAAAGCAUACAGACAGAAGGCUUUGAAAUGCCAUCCAGACAAGAACCCAGAUAAUCCCAAAGCAGUGGAAUUGUUCCAUCAAUUAUCCCAGGCUCUGGAAGUUCUGACAGAUGCAGCUGCAAAGGCAGCCUACGAUAAAAUCAGAAAAGCGAAAAAGCAGGCAGCAGAGAGGAACCAAAAACUCGACAGCAAGAGAAAAAAAGUAAAGCUUGAUUUGGAGGCUCGUGAAAGAGAAGCCCAGCUCAAUGAAGAAGAGGAAAUUAAGAUUGCAAAGAAUUUAGAUGAAGUGAUUGCCAGGCUAAGGGAAGAAGGCUCCAGACAUUUAGAGGAACAGCAGAGGCUUGUCAGAGAACAAAUAAUGCUGGAGAGGGAGCAGAGACUGCGAGGAUCUGAUGUCCGAACAGAUUCUGUAAACAGCUCAACCCCUAAACUGAAACUGAAAUGGAAGUGUAAGAAGGAUGACGAAACAAAUGGUGGCUACUCUCAUGAAUACCUCCUGUCAAUUUUGAAGAAGUAUGGUGAGGUUUUGAACUUGCUCAUAUCCAGUAAAAAGAAAGGCUCCGCUAUCGUGGAAUUCUCCUCAAUCAAGACUGCUGAACUUGCUUUUAAAAAUGAGACUGGGCUAACGAGUAACCCAUUAAAGAUCUCCUGGUUGGAAGGAUCACCUCCUCCAAAUACCACAAGCAACUCUGCAUCAUCAUCUUUGGAAUCAAGCACAUCUAAUCUGUUCCAGAAAUACAUUUGCUGUGUUCAUCGUUUCGAGGAAGAAUAAAAAUAGUGUUUCUGGAAGAUGUUCAAAGCACUUUCAAGUUUGAGUGCUGGCCCAGCUGAGUCUGUAGCUUUCCCACUGACAAAUGCCUGACCUGCCUUUCAACAAGGCAUGUCAAGCCCACCUGCAAAAGUGCUUCCUCUGCACUGCCGCAAGAAAGUGUAAAGGCUAAAGUCUUUGGGUACAGAAUAUCAGCUCUCUAUUACCCAGGAUACAGUGCGCACAGAGCGAGAUUAUGAAAGUCUUGUGAUGAUGCGGAUGCGACAGGCAGCAGAACGGCAGCGGCUCAUCAAACAACUUCAAGAAGAUGAUUCUUAAACUUGGCACUGGCGAAUGCUUCAGACUCCUUUCUGUUUCCCGCAAACUGAAAUAAACUGCUCUUUAUUUUUA